UCGCGCGCUCUCCUCCUCUCGGCUCUCGACUCUCGGCGAUCUCGUCGUUCUGCGAAGGUCGGAACUGCUCUCCGACGAACACGAACGGGCACAGCUGCGAGGGUCCUUCCCUUCGAUUUUUAUUGCGGUGAUCUCAUUCCUUUCUUUUUUCUCUUGUUUCGUUUCGCUUGGUUCUUCAUCCGUCGAAAUUUUGAUUAGGGUUCAGAAUUUUUGUUGGUCUUGGGGUUCUUUUAAUCGAUUCUUGGUUGUCGACUUUCUUGUGGGAAGAUCGAUCUUUCUGGUUUUCUCGAUCGUUUUUCGUCACCUAGCCAGUCUCGUUCUGGUUUCGAUUGGAAAAUAUGUCUUCUUCGCGUUCUAGGCGUGUGGAGUACGACCGCUUCAUCCCGUUCCGGUCGGCGAUGGACAUGGACUACGCACGCUUUGCCCUAACCGGGCCUUCGAGACCGCAGCGUGAUGGUUCGAGGGAAUCCCCAUCGAGCGUGGCGUACCAAAAGCUUCUUGACGAGUGCAUUUUGAAGAACAGGUCUCGUAUCCUCGCUUUCAAGACUGCACCUGAAGCGUCGGCCAGCAAGCUGCCCGAGUUUGACGAGCCCAUUCGGCCGCAGAAGAAGCAGCAGAGGCGAAUCCCUAAAGAACCAGAGAGGGUUUUGGUAAUCCACGGCUUGUUGGAUGAUAAUGUUUUGAAUAUCCUCGACUGGGGAAGCAAUAAUGUGUUGGCGAUUGGCCUUGAGGACGCAGUGUAUCUCUGGGACGCUGCAAACGAGUCGACUAAGCUUCUACAACCCGUAGAAGACAGAGGACCUAUCACUUGCAUCCGCUGGUCGCCAGACUCUGCAGUUCUAGCUGUCGCAUUUGGCAAUUCAGAUUUAGCCCUAAUUGAUCCAGCAACAGGACAUAUCGUGGAUGGGAUGGAAGAUGAGAACCAGGCCCCUGUGUUGUCACUUGCGUGGAGAAGUAAUUCAAUCUUGACGGUCGGAAGAUUUGAUGGCACUGUUGUUGAUUAUGACUUUAGAAAGGAUGACAUGUUCAUCUGUUUCUAUAAUGGGCAUCGGCGUGGAGUUUGUAGUCUUAAAUGGUCCGUGUUGUCAGGGCGGUAUUUUGCGAGUGGAGGGCAGGACAAACUAGUGCACAUAUGGGAUGCUUGCAUGCCUGUCUCACGUGACCAUCCACGUCAACGUCAAUGGCUUCACAGGAUCAGCAGCCACACUUCCAUUGUGAAGGCCGUUGACUGGUGCCCAACUCGGAGCAACCUGCUGGCUUCUUGUGGAGGUUGCAAUGAUCAUUGCGUUAAGGUUUGGAACACCGUUAACGGUGCUUGCUUGAACUCGAUUGAUGCUGGCUCUGAAGUUUGUGCAUUGCUAUGGGACAAAAACAAAUCUGAAUUACUGACCUCCCAUGGUUCGCCGAACAAUCAACUCACCUUGUGGAAUUACCCAUCCAUGACGAGAGUGGCUGAGGUUUCCGGUCAUUCAUCCCGGGUUCUUUCCUUGGCUGGGAGUCCACUGGGAGGUGUAGUAGCUUCUGCAGCAACAGAUGAGACAGUCAAGUUUUGGAAUAUCUUUGAGACUCCCAAAAUAACAAAACCUGAACUGCCCUUUGCCCAAUUUAAUGUCAUCAUAAGAUGAAAAGGUGGAUAGGUGGAAAUGAUUAAGAUUCCAAAUGGAAGACUUCUCUAGUGCUUGGCAUGAAGAUCUGUUGUUGGUAACAUUGCGAUGGGAAGUUUCGUGGUGUCAAAGAGGCAGUACAUUUUCAUACAAGCGCAUGGAUUCGAGAUCUUCAAAUAUGAGCGCAACCGCCUAAGAUUUCUUAUGAUAUUCAAUAUGGCCUUGAUAUUACAUGAAGACAUCACAUUGCACACCUAGAAGAGUGUUUGACAAUCGAGAGAUCUAUGCAUUAUGAGAGAAAGCUCCAGAGCUUGAUCGAUACAAACAAGAAGCUGCAAUGAAGCUCAUGGCCAACGGUGCAUGCACCCUUUGCAACACGGGGAAGGGACAAAGAGACUUAGAGCAUUGAUGUUUCAUUUACUGGAAUUUGAGAAUCAGGCAAAAGCAGCAUGUGUAUUGAUUGAUUUAUGCUUUGGACCAUUAUCACCAUGGAUAUAUACAAUUACUGCAAAGGUUGAUCUUGCAAUUGAACUUCCGGAGGACCUCUUGGUGUUAUUCAAGUGUUUUCAUAAUUUGCUAGCCAUGCUUAUGUUGCUUUGAAGCAAGGUAUACAAUUUGAAUGGUACCGCUCGGUACGGACGGUAUGUACCAGUCCGACAGGUUAUCGGUAUGCGGAUUGUCCGUUACCGCCCGGCACAGCUCGGUAACGUGUACUCCUUUUUGUUUUGGGGCCACAUAUGCCAUUUCCUUCAGAUAUUGACCUUUGCAAAUGUUCAUUUCCUAAGGUGGCUGAUCAAGAGUCUUUAGCUGUUUCUUCUGACUUUGUGAUAUGUUCUCAUGGGGCUUCUAGCACAUCCAGUAAUCCGGAUGAAGCAAAGAGAAAGAUUGAUGCAUCUAAAGCUGCCACUAGAAAAGAUGUACUCCAAGAUGCUAAUCUGUAGUUUGCUCCUAGAGAUCUGUCAAAAAUUGUUCUGACAAGUGUUUCAAAUUAUUUUACUGGGGACUGGAUCAGAUUGAAUUUCGGUUGUGGUGUUUCAGAGGUGAAUAAGAUUUCAAAUAACAACUUUCAGAAUAUUGGUUUCUUUGCUGAUUACUUGUAUUCACAAGCAUAUUAUCUACAACUUGUAAACUAUCAAGAUUCGGUAUAUAGGGCUUCCCAAUUUGAACAUUUGACA
Molecule: RNA transcript, 2779 nt
Organism: Musa acuminata AAA Group (dessert banana)
Lineage: Eukaryota; Viridiplantae; Streptophyta; Magnoliopsida; Zingiberales; Musaceae
Exons: 8
Source: RefSeq, a predicted model, not a curated record